This is a long non-coding RNA of Phascolarctos cinereus (koala), 827 nucleotides long. RefSeq lists it as uncharacterized. The record is from RefSeq and is a predicted model, not a curated record. NCBI's taxonomy places the organism in Eukaryota, Metazoa, Chordata, Mammalia, Diprotodontia, Phascolarctidae.
GCCGCUGCCCGGUCUAGCUAGAGACCCGGGCAAGAGCCUAGGGCCCCAGGAUCGGGACGGUUUUGUCAGCAGCGCCACCAGUCCCAGCGCUGCGCACCUUUCCCGGGCCUGGGGGUCAAGACUCGGGCGGGACCCUCUCUGGCUUUCGGACAGCGCCUGGGGCCUGCUCCUGGGGCCUGGAAAGGACUAAGUGAAGGAAGGCAUGCUGCGGGACCAGGGAGAAAGGACCACCAGAGAGGGAGCCGAGCUGUGAGUCUGGAAAGAUUUAACACUCCAACCCUGGCAGUCUACUAUCGUGGCAUUCUGCUUAGCUCCCCUUCAGCCAACCCCAAAGCCUUGGGCUGCUCAAGGAGAGAGAGAGAGAGAGAGAGAGAGAGAGAGAGAGAGAGAGAGAGAGAGAGAGAGAGAGAGAGAGAGAGCGCGAGCGUGCGCAGCCUGGAUCUGCCUUAACCAAAGGACCUAUUUUCCUCCAACUAGCUGGAAACAAAAGAUGGGAAAACUGAGGCUCAGUAGGCCUAGGAGCUUGUCACAUAGUAAGUGGAAAGGAUGGACUUCAAACCCAGAUUUCCAGCUCCAAGUUCAGUGAUAUUUCUGGACUACAACAGGUUGCCUAUCAAGGUCUGACCAGCAGGAAGUGUGUCAUGUUUGGACCUCGGGGUUUCUUCACUCUGUCCCCAUCCUCUUGAUGCAGGAAUCCAGCAAGCAGCCCUCACAUAGGGCUCCAUUGCCAUAUGACCCAGAGCAUCAUCUCUCUAGGACUCAACUGAAUCCUCUGGAGAUAAUUCCAGACGCGACAGAGAAUAAAUCCCUGUUUGAGACUUGUGGCA